This 413-nucleotide long non-coding RNA is filed under the name Gossypium raimondii (Peruvian cotton). Its description in RNAcentral is "long non-coding RNA (GRAI_LNC002659)". Lineage: Eukaryota; Viridiplantae; Streptophyta; Magnoliopsida; Malvales; Malvaceae. The record is from RNAcentral.
AUCGAAGUAAUAAGACACAGUGGACUGGAAUGAAGCUACCUGAAGAAGAAAGGCACCAAAAAGUCAAGACCCGGCGAGACCGGGCAAAAUUGGACUUUCUUAGUCUUUGCUUUGUUAUCGUUACACGACAACGAGCAAAGAGGGGCAGCUGUACAGCCCAAUUUUGCCCACUACCCAAAUAGACCCAAAAAUAAGCCCAAACUAACCCACAGCCCAAAACCUAAAAACCCAAUACCCAUUUUCAGAAAAAAAAAAGCAAAAGAAAACCCUAGACCCCUAACCCUAGCCACCGCACCUAGCCCACUUGCCCUGCCACCGCCGUCUCUAACUAGCACUGCCAUGGUCACGUCGCCGGAUCACCACUUGCGCCUACAAAAUCAGAAAGGAGCGACAGAAAAACAAAAAAAAAGGGA